This 440-nucleotide ribosomal RNA is filed under the name uncultured bacterium. RNAcentral describes it as "partial 16S ribosomal RNA". It matches the Rfam family "Bacterial small subunit ribosomal RNA", at positions 28 to 507 of the family's 1533-position model. The record is from RNAcentral.
GACGAACGCUGGCGGCGUGCCUAAUGCAUGCAAGUCGCACGCGGCACCUUCGGGUGCUGCGUGGCGAACGGCUGAGGAACACGUGGGGACCUGUCCGGGAGUGGGGGACAACACCGCGAAAGCGGUGCUAAUCCCGCAUACGCUCUGAGGAGGAAAGCCGAAAGGCGCUCCCGGGUGGCCCUGCGGCCCAUCAGGUUGUUGGUGGGGUAACGGCCUACCAAGCCAAUGACGGGUCGCUGGUCUGUGAGGACGACCAGCCAGACUGGGACUGGGACACGGCCCAGACUCCUACGGGAGGCAGCAGCAAGGAAUUUUCGGCAAUGGGCGCAAGCCUGACCGAGCAACGCCGCGUGCAGGAAGACGGCCUUCGGGUUGUAAACUGCUUUUGCUAGGGAGGAUAACAGACAGUACCUGGCGAAUCAGCCCCGGCUAACUCUGUG